UGGAUGACUUGGUUCUUGAAUCCCCCCC
Molecule: non-coding RNA, 28 nt
Filed under: Rattus norvegicus (Norway rat)
Lineage: Eukaryota; Metazoa; Chordata; Mammalia; Rodentia; Muridae
Source: RNAcentral